CAUUCCAAGCCUCUGCAAUCACUCUCCUGCAGUCAGAGUUAAGCAGCCACAUUUUAUGAAAUUUGAAGGAGGAUUUUCUAGUCUGCACUUGAUUGUUACUAGAGAAAAGUAAAGGGAAAUGAUCUGAAGCAACUCUAGACAAGGUGCAACAAACAAAUUGAGUGAAAGCAUUGACCCAACCAUCAUUCACCAUAGCUCUAUCAAGCCUUUUUUCAGUGCAAGCAUUACCAAUACGCCUAUUUGACCAAGUAAAUUGUGCACCCGUGGUUGGAAGACUGAUAAAACCAGCAUUGUCAAUAAAAGCCUGAAACUCAGCAGUAGGAAUUCUAGCAGGCAAUCUGAGACUUCUACAUUCAUGAGCUCCCAAGACCACAUUAAAGUCUCCUAUGCAGCACCAAGGACCAGGAUAAUCAGAGAUUACCUGAUGGAUUUCAGACCACAGGGUCCUCCGAAAUAGGUAAUUAGUGCUAGCAUAGACUACACAGAAAAACAGAA
Molecule: long non-coding RNA, 495 nt
Filed under: Lupinus angustifolius (narrow-leaved blue lupine)
Lineage: Eukaryota; Viridiplantae; Streptophyta; Magnoliopsida; Fabales; Fabaceae
Description: long non-coding RNA (LANG_LNC001004)
Source: RNAcentral